UGUAGGUAUUAAUUUAUCGAGAGAGCUAUCGUUAUUAAAAUAUUACACGUCUAACACACAUGCUUAUGUGAAUAAUCAAAUUAAUACAACUUAUUUAAAAACCAGACACAGGUACAUGGACAUUAAUAGUACUUCAAUAAAUGUAUCUACGGGAGAUGAUAAUACAAACGAUUUAAAAAAAAUGUUUAUCAGAAAAAAAAGUAUAUUAAAAGAUAGUAGCGAUAUGCGUAGUUUUUAUAGAAAGGACAUUAAAAAUGUAGCAAAGAGUAAAAUACGCACUAGUUCUGACUGCAUGGAAACAUAUAACUCUCUCGACAUAAACAAAGUAAAUAACUUCAUAAUUAUUUUGAACAAUGCAGGGUUAUUACAAUUAUACUCUGGCGAUAUAUACAUUUGUGAUAUAUCUUCACAGAAGAGUAGUGAGAAAAUCUAUUAUAUACACAACCCUGAUUACAGUAAAAUAUUAAUAGAAACAAUGAAGUUUGAAUUGAAUGAAUUAUUGCUAAAUACAUAUAGAGUUUCUCUUGCCAUACUACCAAAGAAUGAGACAUUACUAAUGAUUCUUACGUUUUUUUAUUAUGCAAGUUGUAAGAAAAUAACAAAUGAUUUUUUAAGGUUGAUUCUUGUUGAAUAUAAAAAAAGCAAUACAAAUAUAGGCUCAUUUGUUGAUAUGGAUUGUAACUGUUAUGCAAAUGGAAGUAGUUGCUCCUAUAAAAACAAUAAAAGUAAAAAUGUUGGUAAUAAAGCUAGUAUCAUCGAUGACACAUUAUUUAUUAAAGAUGAUCCCAUACAGUUACAUUUUUGUAAAUUUUUGCACUUGUUUAUCUUACUUUUUGUAAAUGACAUAGAUCAAUAUAUUAAUUUGAAAAAAUAUAUAUACAUAGAAAAUGUUAGUCGUUGCAGUCAAUACAAAAGAAUAAAAAAAUAUAUGGAUUAUCUUCAUCAAAGUUAUUAUAAUAUAUACAAAAAUCGAUAUAUUAUAUUCGUACAUUUACAACAGUAUUUUGAUGAAAUAAAUUUAGAUGGCUCUAUGGAUAUAAACUUAAAAGAUGAAAUAUUAAUGUUAAUAAUUAUUUUAGGAUACUGUCUAAAUUUAUAUGGUUAUUCAUUGGAUUAUAUAAACAAACUGAGCUUAUCACAAAGAAAAUGGAUAGAACCGCUGUACAGACAUAUAUGCGAACAGUUUCAUAAAAAUAUGAUAUUAAAAAAUGACACAGGUGUGAAUGAUAAUGCUAAUUAUAAUAAUAGCUCUCUCGAUAAGUCUAACCAUUACAUCCAAAAAUUUGACAAAAGUGCAUUUGUAAAUAGUUAUUUAAAAAAUAAAUUGGAAAAGGAAUUGUAUAUACCUAACACUUUAGAUAUAUUAGAUUAUAUAGUGAACAGUAAUGAACAUGAUAAAGCACAGUUUGAUAAUAGAAUUAACGAAUGUAUAGAUAGAUAUUUAUGUUUACAAAAUGUAGAGUGUCCUUCGAAAAAAUUGAAUCUAGAUGAUGAAUUUUAUCUAAAAGAAAUUGAUAAAAUGUGUAGUAUCAUAAUGAAACAACAGACGUUAAUCAUUAAAGACAGUAGUAAUGAUAGUGAUGAUAGAAGUAGUAACAUAGGUAGUGUUAGUAUUAAUGACAACAAUAACUAUGAUAAUGAUGAUGAGCAUAAAACCUAUAAUUAUUAUUAUAGUAAACUUAAGAAGAUUAAAAAUGAAAUUUUAACAAAUGAUCAUUUAAAAUUUUUAUAUUACUUCAACUCAUUGUUUUUUCCAUUAAAAAAUUUG
RNAcentral lists this long non-coding RNA (1768 nucleotides) under Piliocolobus tephrosceles (Ugandan red Colobus). RNAcentral's name for it is "lncRNA (ENSPTEG00000000170.1)". Lineage: Eukaryota; Metazoa; Chordata; Mammalia; Primates; Cercopithecidae. The record is from RNAcentral.